Anneissia japonica is the source of this 5999-nucleotide long non-coding RNA. RefSeq lists it as uncharacterized. The record is from RefSeq and is a predicted model, not a curated record. The transcript has 7 exons. NCBI's taxonomy places the organism in Eukaryota, Metazoa, Echinodermata, Crinoidea, Comatulida, Comatulidae.
AGAGACUACGUAUUGGAUUUUUUCAGUACAGUACAACCAAAUACAACAUGCGCUCAUUUUGUAGAAGGGGAUAACUUUUUGCUUUGCUGUAGAGUUUUGUCCAGUAGUAUAAAUUAAUUCAAGACCGGUUUUAAUGUCUCUCCUUGUUUGGUGAAGCGGGAAUGAUGACCACAGAGGAAUAAGUUUCUUCUUCUUCCAUUGAUAGACAAAUAUAACCAUCAAACUAACCAUGCAAGGCUUUCAUCAUAAAAGAUACAAGCUAGGUAAAGGAAAAGGAAGCUACACAGCACUACCUCCUAUCGGAAAUGAUGACAUAUCUAUGUCAUGCUAAUAUCUGCAGUUCGGCACCCUCGUCUCCAUCAGUUCUUAAUUCAUUGCAAUCAUUCAAAAGUGUACUGUUAUCGUCUGGACUGGUUGGACUACUUGUGCUAUUUUGUAGUUCAGUAUCACAGAAAAUAUCAUACCUUGCUUAAAAUGUAAUGUGCUUUCCAUUAUAUUAAUUGUUACUAUAUUUUAUAUAUUAUUUGAAGAACAAGUUUUUUAGUUACACUCUUCUAAAAAAAGUAAUAAAGAUGUUGAAGGAAACUGGAAAAUAACAUUACACAAUGAAAAAUGUUUUUUUUUUGCUUCGUUUAUUGAAAUCGUGUAUUAGUUGCCACUUGCUUAUCCAAAAAAUAGCAAAUAACGGAUUAGCAGAUUACACUUCCAAGUAAUCUGUUAACUAUGUAGUAUCAUCUUACAUACAUUACAACAUUUCAUAGUAAAUGAUUUAACUUUUAAUUUCCGUGCAAUUGACCUAAAUUUUAGUGAAUGCCUGUGAGGUUUGGGCUAUUAGCUCUCUAGUUUAAUUUUUAUUACGCUGUCCACUGCCUUGAAAUCAACAUUUAUUAAUUGAAAUUAUGUAAAUUUCAUGUGAAUUUAUAAAUACUGAACCUAAUAAUAACUGAAAAAAAAAUGGCAAACUUGUACUCAACAAUGAUUACAAAAUUAUAUAGCUCCAUGACUAGACACACUCCUACUGGAGAUUGAACCAAGAAGGGAAGAUUUUUUUUUUCCGGGGGGGUGGGGGUGUCCUAAGCUUUAUCACAUCAACACUUAGUGUGUACACGUCUUUGUAUACCAGACUCCAUCUUGUAGGUAUUAGUUUUGAUGAAUUGUUUCAGUUUCUUCAUAAUUUAAGAAUUUAAGUGUACAUAUAGGCCUAUUGUUUGCAUUAUUAAAUUAAAUUAAUGGUACCGAGUAAAUGAAAUUUAAAUUGUAGGACAUGGUUCAUGCCACAUCGUGUCUGACACCAUAAGUAGCACCAAAAGUGGAGAUGCAGAGUAUCCACACGUUAAAAUUUUGUGCAUCGCCCUUUAAAUUUUUUAGGCAAUGCAUUCUGAUUUAUUCAAAUCUUGGCGAGAGUGCUCCUACCAUUUUUUCCAUCUCAGCCACACCCAUUCUCUUUUAGCAGUGAAUUCGAAAUAGAAGGGAAGAACGUUCACAGAUAGACUGAAAUACAACCCUCACCCCCACCAAGGUUGGGGCUGAUUUAAGAAAUUCAUUUAGCAUGGCACCUCUAGAUGGUCGCAAAUAGCACUUAAAUUUUAAUACAAUUUUCUUUUCUUCCCCAUUUUAUUUUAUAAUUUUGAAAAAAGAAAACUCCUACUCUACCACUAGAAAUUUUCCCAGCACAAAAACAUCCACUCAUGCACUAAGAAGUUAAAACCAAAGCCAGCUCUAGAAAUUCCCCUACGAGGAGUCCAAUUCUGAAAAGGGCCUGCAUUACAGUACCUCAAAAAUCACCUCCCCCUCCCCCCUCACAUGGUUGGGGAUGAGGUAAGAAAAUUGACACCAGUCCUACAUUCCUUAAAAUGGUUUGAAAAAAUGGAAAAAAAAUUAGUUUUCAAUGCAGUGUUUUUAAACAUGCCCCAAGCCUGCUGGCACUGGAAACGGUUGUAUAUCGCAUCAUAUCAGUGACUCCACAAUUUACUGUAUUCCCUAUUGUUAGCCUCCCCACUCCACGUGUCAAAACUCUACACUACUAGAUACAGUGAGCUGCACUCAUAAAAAACAAGACUGUGUUGUAUUUCUACUAACAGAAAACUUUUUCUAAAAAUUGGCUGGAUUUACUUUUUAGCAAUUUUUCGCAGACUGGAUCAAAAUGUUGGCAAGCGGGCUGAUGAUUGAAUACUGGGGAUUUAGGAGUUUCAAGGGCUUAUUUAAUUUUAGAGUCUACUAACAUGUAAAAAAUACAUAGGGCUAAAUCAUUUUCUUUUCACCCUGACGAAUAGUGGUAGUGCUGCCACUGCCCCCAACACAGUUGCCAACUUUAAAAAAAAAAAAAAUUCUUUGAGAACUCGUGUUUCGGAGCAACGUCCCACUGGUUGGGAGCCAGGAAGCUCGCUCAACCUGGGCAUUUUAACUACUAAUUUGAUUGAUCUUGGACACUAAAUUAAGUAAAAAAUUAUGAUGUUAACUUAAUAAAUCAAAAGAGUUAUAAUACUUACUUAAAUUUGACCAAAGUAAACUUAGGAUGUAUGUUGCUUUGUACCUGACAGUUACUUGGUGAUAAAAAUGGGGAGAGUAUUCUUGCUUGCGGGAGUUGGGUAGGCCUUCCUGAUUUCCGAGAACCUAAGGACCCUGUUUGCUACACCAUAUGCUGUGGUUCAUUCAGCCCCUUUCUUUGUGGAAUGAUGUGAAUUAAGCACCUCUCUACGGCUGCUAUUCAGAACUGGAAGUUAGUGGCAUGUUGGUAUAGGCAGCCAGAAUGUUAAGAAGCAGUGGUGUUCAACUUCAGGAUGAGUAGUAAAAUUGAGAGAGGAUAGCAACAUAAAAAUACAGUUUGCUUGCUGUUUGCUAGUUGACUCAUUUGCAUAAUCCACCAGACCAUGGGCUGAUCACAGUGAUGUAAUCAUAAUGAAUAUUCAUUAAUUAGGAAACUGCUGAAGUGACACCACAGCAAGAGCAACUUCUAGAUAGCAUAUAUAUAUAUCUUUCAGCACAGCCUAAGUGAAUCUUGCAUGUUGUUGGAUAAUCUGAAUAGAGAGGAAGAAUUGUGUGGGGUACCACACACCAAACCACUGAUGAGAAAUGGUGCCGAACUGGUGUGGAGCAAUGGUGCAAGAUACCACACCACUGAUGAGAACUAAUGGUGCAUGAUACCUCACCACUGAUGAGGAGAAAUGGUGCCAAGCUACCACACCACUAUACCACAAAACUGAUGAGGACCAAUCGUGCAAGGUACCACACCACUGGUGAGGACCAUUGGUGCAAGUUACCACACCACUGGUGAGGACCAAUGGUGCAUGAUACCACACCAAUGAUGAUGAUAAGCAUUCGGUUUUCAGACAGCCCGAGUUGAGUCAUUGAAAUAGAAGUCUCAGAAUGUAAAUUGAAACAGAACAUUUGCGAGAAUCUGUAACCUAAACUUAUCAAAAAACACAAUGAAGAUUUUUAAAAUAUAAUCUAAUUACGUUAAUUCUUUGCUUUUUUCUGGCAUUAAACAGUAAUUGUAAACAAAUUCUGAUUCAAACCAUUAUCCCGAAGAGAAAGUAACAUUUUAAAGAUGUGUUGUCCCUUGCUAAUGUCAAAAAAACACAAAAAUAAAUUUUGAAAUCAACUUGUUCAUUUUGAAAAUUAUUAACUUGUGGAUUAUUUAAUUUAAAAAAUGUGUACCCUGAUUUUUAAACCAGAAGUAUAACAAAUUCUGAAUAGUAGGUAAUGUUCAAUUCAAUAGUCAUUGUAUGCUUGUUGUGUAUUUUUCAUUUCAGGGGAAUUUUAUUCUCUAUUAGUUAUUCUCUAGUAUAAGUACUGUAUAUCAUUAUUUUUGGAAAAUAUUUCAUUUUGUCAUUGAGACAAAAUUAAUUCAGAAUUCUUUAUUGUUAUAAAAUUGAUAGUUCCCUUAAAAUUCAUUUUGUGGCAAGAUUACAUUAAUUCAUUUGAAAUUAAGAAAUGUUUACUUAUAAACCUUGUGCUACAAUGUGUAAGAUUCUCCUCUAUUUUCCAUUUUCAUAUGUUGUUAAGAAAGUGUUAAAUUUCUUAUUCAAAAUGCAACAAAACUUGUGAUAUAAUUAUAUUUAUAACAUUGUGGUGCUUCUGAUAGGUAGAAUAUUUUCUUAUGCAUUGUAUAUUAUCUUUAAUUUUUGUUUACAUAAUGAAAUCAUUCGAUAUCAUUAAAAAAAAAAUCUUUUGUUUUGUUUUGGUACACAAGUGAAAACUGUUUAAACACUCUUGUAUUUGAAGAAAUAAGAGUCAUUUAUUGAUAUAAAAUAUAUAUUGUUUAUAAGUGCAGUAUAAUAUUAACUAUACUUUGGAAAAUGUCGGGAUUCAAUAUUUCGACAUUUGUUUGUUUGUUUCAUUUAUUUCUCCACACACAUGAACAUAUGACAGAAGCUUAAUAGUAAAACCAACUAAGAAUAAUAGUACAUUACAAAAUAAGUGUGGAAGGAGGCCAAAUUAAGUUUAGAAUAACACUUUAAGCCAUUUUUAUAUUUCUAUAAUAAUAUUACAUAUAUCACACACACAUAUAUAUGCAUACAAACACACGCACAAAUGCAUACAUAUGGUAGCAGCCAAUACUAAAUUCAAUCUAAACCAAUAAAUAAUUCAUGUUAAUUUUGUAAAAUUAAUUUAAUCUAAUUUGAAAAUCUAUUGUAUAAUAUUAACUAUACUUUGGAAAAUGAAACUAUUUACUCGUUUUCAAAAAUUUUAUUUUCAUAAUUACGUCAUGAUUUUACUACCGACAGACUCCAAGUAUUGAAAUGCACGCCAUCAUGUCGGGAUUUGUUUGGGAAUGUAAACUACAUUUUACUUGUAGCUUGAGUGAGAACUUUGCACGCUUGCUGUAUUCUUGUAUAAUCAUAGAUAAAGGGGUUGCAGAGAAGUGCAUGCAAUUCAAAUAAAUACAACACAAAAUUAAUUUGUAUUCUCUUUUCUUUAUUUGUUCCUUGUAUGAUGUUUAUAAUACACCCCUCAAUCAAAUGCACUAAAUAGACCCCCCCCCCAAAUCAAAUGGGGCACUGCUCACGUCGGAAUACGCUCUUUAUCAUCAGCAGCGCCCUCAUUUAAUGCAAUGGAGCUCACAGAUCUUGUUAAAAAAAAAUCGCAAUAACGUAAGAUAAAAAUUAAUUUAAAUUAAAAUGAGCUUUUCAGUCAGAUUGUUGUAGUGUACGUGUACAAAUAAGGUUUUUAUAAUGAGCUCUAUUCAGUAACACAAAUUUGGCAGUUCCUUAAAAAUUUUCUGUGCAUUGCAAGUAGGUUUUUUGAGGGAAGCGCCAUAUAUAAAAUUGUAUUAUUUGCAGAAGGUGCAGUUUUAUGAGUCUUUCAUGCAUUACGCCAAAUAUCUUACAAACACAAGAUAGCGUAACAUAUAGAAACGUCGAUUUGGCACAAAAAAGUAAUCAGUUUUGGGAGAGGGCGUGCUAGUCAUUGCCAUGGAUCUGAGAUAGAGUAUAAAUCGGACGCUUCUAAUUGUUACGCGUAAACGUCAAGUCGCGCGGCAUAUGUUAUGGUCAGAGUGGUCAAGGUUUAAAAGUUCCCAAUUUUGCAAGAGGGCGUCGUUCAUGCAUUAUUACAGAAUUUGCACGCUAUCUUGUGUUUAUGAGAUCUUUGAUUACGCUUACAAAUAGGUGAUAGCAUAUUUUUCUUUGAGUAAAUAACCAACCCACUUACCUCCAGUCUUCUUGUCUCUGUACCGGCAUACAGCAUAACACAGCAUAAAAUUUAUUAAUACAUAUACCAUAGGCCUAUCUACUUCAUCAGUCAAUCACGUACAGUAUUUGAAUUACUGUUAUUAAAAGAUAUUGUGUUCAUAAACAUUACGAAUACCUUGAUUACGUUAAAAUAAAUCUGAAAAGCAUCUCGGCUUCUUGCAUAUGGGUUCACAGUUCACACUAGAUGGCAUUACAGAGCAAUGACUUCAUUUUUUAUCAUUAUAUAAUAUAAAAUAUAUAUUUCAUUAUGGUUGAAUGUUGUUUAAGACACUAGUUUCUUGUAUCUUUCAGUCAACUCUUCUCUUC